UACGUAGGUGGCAAGCGUUAUCCGGAUUUAUUGGGCGUAAAGGGAACGCAGGCGGUCUUUUAAGUCUGAUGUGAAAGCCUUCGGCUUAACCGGAGUAGUGCAUUGGAAACUGGGAGACUUGAGUGCAGAAGAGGAGAGUGGAACUCCAUGUGUAGCGGUGAAAUGCGUAGAUAUAUGGAAGAACACCAGUGGCGAGAGCGGCUCUCUGGUCUGUAACUGACGCUGAGGUUCGAAAGCGUGGGUAGCAAACAGG
This 253-nucleotide ribosomal RNA is filed under the name uncultured bacterium. RNAcentral's name for it is "partial 16S ribosomal RNA". It matches the Rfam family "Bacterial small subunit ribosomal RNA", at positions 524 to 776 of the family's 1533-position model. The record is from RNAcentral.